RNAcentral lists this ribosomal RNA (492 nucleotides) under uncultured bacterium. RNAcentral's name for it is "partial 16S ribosomal RNA". It matches the Rfam family "Bacterial small subunit ribosomal RNA", at positions 29 to 507 of the family's 1533-position model. The record is from RNAcentral.
AGUGAACGCUGGCGGUAGGCCUAACACAUGCAAGUCGAACGGCAGCACAGUAAGAGCUUGCUCUUACGGGUGGCGAGUGGCGGACGGGUGAGGAAUACAUCGGAAUCUACUUUUUCGUGGGGGAUAACGUAGGGAAACUUACGCUAAUACCGCAUACGACCUACGGGUGAAAGCAGGGGAUCUUCGGACCUUGCGCGAUUGAAUGAGCCGAUGUCGGAUUAGCUAGUUGGCGGGGUAAAGGCCCACCAAGGCGACGAUCCGUAGCUGGUCUGAGAGGAUGAUCAGCCACACUGGAACUGAGACACGUUCCAGACUCCUACGGGGGGCAGCGGUGGGGAAUAUUGGACAAUGGGCGCAAGCCUGAUCCAGCCAUACCGCGUGAGUGAAGAAGGCCUUCGGGUUGUAAAGCCCUUUUGUUGGGAAAGAAAAGCAGCAGGUUAAUACCCCGCUGUUCUGACGGUACCCAAAGAAUAAGCACCGGCUAACUUCGUG